This 450-nucleotide ribosomal RNA is filed under the name uncultured Glomeromycotina. RNAcentral describes it as "SSU rRNA". It matches the Rfam family "Eukaryotic small subunit ribosomal RNA", at positions 569 to 1023 of the family's 1831-position model. The record is from RNAcentral. Lineage: Eukaryota; Fungi; Glomeromycota.
AGCAGCCGCGGUAAUUCCAGCUCCAAUAGCGUAUAUUAAAGUUGUUGCAGUUAAAAAGCUCGUAGUUGAAUUUCGGGGUCAGUAGAUUGGUCAUGCCACUGGUAUGUACUGGUCUCACUGAUUCCUCCUUCCUGAUGAGCCGUAAUGCCAUUAAUUUGGUGUUGCGAGGAAUCUGGACUGCUACUUUGAAAAAUUAGAGUGUUUAAAGCAGGCUAACGCUUGAAUACAUUAGCAUGGAAUAAUGAAAUAGGACGUUCGAUCUUAUUUUGUUGGUUUCUAAGAUUGACGUAAUGAUUAAUAGGGAUAGUUGGGGGCAUUAGUAUCCAAUUGUCAGAGGUGAAAUUCUUGGAUUUUAUUGAAGACUAACUACUGCGAAAGCAUUUGCCAAGGAUGUUUUCAUUAAUCAAGAACGAAAGUUAGGGGAUCGAAGACGAUCAGAUACCGUCGUAG